RNAcentral lists this ribosomal RNA (410 nucleotides) under uncultured Pseudomonas sp. RNAcentral's name for it is "bacterial SSU rRNA". It matches the Rfam family "Bacterial small subunit ribosomal RNA", at positions 973 to 1382 of the family's 1533-position model. The record is from RNAcentral. Lineage: Bacteria; Pseudomonadati; Pseudomonadota; Gammaproteobacteria; Pseudomonadales; Pseudomonadaceae.
ACCAGGCCUUGACAUGCAGAGAACUUUCCAGAGAUGGAUUGGUGCCUUCGGGAACUCUGACACAGGUGCUGCAUGGCUGUCGUCAGCUCGUGUCGUGAGAUGUUGGGUUAAGUCCCGUAACGAGCGCAACCCUUGUCCUUAGUUACCAGCACGUUAUGGUGGGCACUCUAAGGAGACUGCCGGUGACAAACCGGAGGAAGGUGGGGAUGACGCCAAGUCAUCAUGGCCCUUACGGCCUGGGCUACACACGUGCUACAAUGGUCGGUACAAAGGGUUGCCAAGCCGCGAGGUGGAGCUAAUCCCAUAAAACCGAUCGUAGUCCGGAUCGCAGUCUGCAACUCGACUGCGUGAAGUCGGAAUCGCUAGUAAUCGUGAAUCAGAAUGUCACGGUGAAUACGUUCCCGGGCCUU